UUUUCAGUGUCGCAGCGAAAGCGAUAAACACACCGCCUGGGGAGUACGACCGCAAGGUUAAAACUCAAAUGAAUUGACGGGGACCCGCACAAGUAGUGGAGCAUGUGGUUUAAUUCGAAGAUACGCGCAGAACCUUACCAACACUUGACAUGUUCGUCGCGACUCUAAGAGAUUAGAGUUUUCGGUUCGGCCGGACGAAACACAGGUGCUGCAUGGCUGUCGUCAGCUCGUGUCGUGAGAUGUUGGGUUAAGUCCCGCAACGAGCGCAACCCUCACUUUUAGUUGCCAUCAUUUAGUUGGGCACUCUGAAAGAACUGCCAGUGAUAAGCUGGAGGAAGGUGGGGAUGACGUCAAGUCCUCAUGGCCCUUACGUGUUGGGCUACACACGUGCUACAAUGGCAUCUACAAUAGGAAGCAAGAUGGCGACAUCAAGCAAAUCCUAAAAAGAUGCCUCAGUUCGGAUUGCACUCUGCAACUCGAGUGCAUGAAGCUGGAAUUACUAGUAAUCGCGGAUCAGCGCGCCGCGGUGAAUACGUUCCCGGGUCUUGUACACACCGCCCGUCACACCAUGGGAGUUGGUUUUACCCAAAGACGACAAGCUAACCGCAAGGAAGCAGUCGGCCACGGUAAGGUCAGCGACUGGGGUGAAGUCGUAACAAGGUAGCCGUACCGGAAGGUGUGGCUGGAUCACCUCCUU
This 697-nucleotide ribosomal RNA is filed under the name uncultured marine alpha proteobacterium. Its description in RNAcentral is "bacterial SSU rRNA". It matches the Rfam family "Bacterial small subunit ribosomal RNA", at positions 837 to 1532 of the family's 1533-position model. Lineage: Bacteria; Pseudomonadati; Pseudomonadota; Alphaproteobacteria. The record is from RNAcentral.